RNAcentral lists this long non-coding RNA (789 nucleotides) under Numida meleagris (helmeted guineafowl). RNAcentral describes it as "lncRNA (ENSNMEG00000001113.1)". The record is from RNAcentral. Lineage: Eukaryota; Metazoa; Chordata; Aves; Galliformes; Numididae.
AGGGACAGUGGGGACAUGGGGAGGGGACAGUUUGGGAUGGGGACAUGGGAUGGGGACAAGGGACAGGAUGGGAACAGGAUGGGGAGGUGGGAAUUGGGGACAAGGGACAGUGGGGACAUGGGGAGGGGACAGGAGGGGGACAAGGGACAAUGGGAUGGGGACAAGGGGCAGCAUGGGGACGUGGGAGGGGACAGUUUGGGAUGGGGACAAGGGACAGGAUGGGAAUGGGGUGGGGAGGUGGGGACAAGGGACAGUGUGGGGGCAUGGGGAGGGGACAGUUUGGGAUGGGGACAUGGGAUGUGGGGACAGGAGAUGUGGGAUGGGGACAAGGGACGGGAUGGGAAUGGGAUGGGGAGAUGGGAACUGGGGACAAGGGACAGUGGGGACAUGGGGAGGGGACAGGAGGGGGACAAGGGACAAUGGGAUGGGGACAAGGGGCAGCGUGGGGACAUGGGAUGGGGACAUGGGAUGUGGGGACAGGGGACGUGGGAUGGGGACAAGAGACAGGAUGGGAAAGGGGCGGGGAGGUGGAACUGGGGACAAGGGACAGUGGGGACAUGGGGAGGGGACAGGAGGGGGACAAGGGACAAUGGGAUGGGGACAAGGGACGGGAAUGGGGUGGGGGCAGCGUGGGAAGGGGGGGGCCCGUACUGGUGGCGUGGUUGGGGACGGUGACGGAGAUGGCGGCGGGGUCACGGCUGAGGCUGUUGGCGAUCAUCCGGCCGGCGGCUGCGGGAGUAAUUAGCAGGAGGUUCGUUAAUUAGGGCUCGGUGUCGGGAGGGAUGGGGA